RNAcentral lists this signal recognition particle RNA (267 nucleotides) under Candidatus Aminicenantes bacterium RBG_16_63_16. RNAcentral's name for it is "signal recognition particle sRNA large type". It matches the Rfam family "Bacterial large signal recognition particle RNA". Rfam says of the family: The signal recognition particle (SRP) is a universally conserved ribonucleoprotein involved in the co-translational targeting of proteins to membranes. Archaeal SRP consists of a 7S RNA and homologues of the eukaryotic SRP19 and SRP54 proteins. Lineage: Bacteria; Candidatus Aminicenantota. The record is from RNAcentral.
CCGUGCUAGACGGGGAGCUAGCGGUGCCCUGUAACCCACAACCCGCUCCAGUGGGGUCGAAAGCCGCGUCGAGGUCGGUCUGCCUUUGGCCAGUGUCCGGGCAGGAGACGUUGAGGGCCGGGGCCCUGCGCAAGGAGCCUCCUGCCAACCCCGCCAGGACCGGAAGGUAGCAACGGUAGCAGGACGGACUUCUGUGCGACAGUCAGCCUUGCCUGAGUUGAAUGUCCGGAUAACGCAGGGGCAGAACGGUCGGAGCCGGCGGCACGG